RNA transcript from Neofelis nebulosa (Clouded leopard), 3151 nucleotides. It is a transcript of the gene named zinc finger B-box domain containing, with no coding region annotated. The transcript is spliced from 22 exons. The record is from RefSeq and is a predicted model, not a curated record. Lineage: Eukaryota; Metazoa; Chordata; Mammalia; Carnivora; Felidae.
AACGCGGUAACCAAGGAGACCGAGGCGGAAGCUCCGGAUAGCUCCAGCAGGCGGUGGUGACGCAGGGGGCUGGGGUCUCCAGAAAGAGAAGUUCACUUUUGAUGGAAGAAAUCUGCAUCGUAGAGGUGGCCUUCCAACCUGGCAAUGAAUGGAAUAAAACUUGACGUUUUUGCAAAUCACAAUAAUUUUUAGAUAAUAUCAAGACAGUGGGGGGAAAAAAAAGGCAGUAAUCAUGAACACCAAAGAUUUUGUAGUUCUUCCAUGGGGGAAACCUGGAAAUUCCGUAAAACUAAAAUACAAAAAUGCUCAGGAACUGAGGAUGGAGAAGAUACAGUUAGAGUUGGAGAACCAACAAAUGGAAAAGAAACUACAGGAAUUCCAAUCAAUUUGGAGCAGAGAAAAGGAAGAAAGAGGGUCAAGUGGAUAUCACUGGAAAUCUGGGCAAGUGGGAAAAUUGAGUAAUCAAUCACACAUAAUGUCACAAAGUAAAGGAAAUAUUAUUAAGCUUUCUGCUGGAAAAGUGAAAUUAAAAUUACUAAAGGAGCAACUUCAAGAGCCAGUGAAACAACCACUUAAUCAUAAAAUGGCCAGUUCUUCUGAAAGUGAAAAAUCCAAGAUAAAAGGGAAGGUUUGUGGACAGUGUGAGAACAAAGCUGCUGUGCUGGUAUGCCUUGAGUGUGGCGAAGAUUAUUGCUCAGGUUGCUUUGCUAAAAUUCACCAGAAGGGGGCACUGAAGCUCCAUAGAACAACUCUUUUGCAGGCAAAAUCUCAAAUAUUAUCCAAUGUAUUGGAUGUUGCCCAUCGGUUUAUCAAGGAUAUGAAUCCAGAUGAACAGAAAGGGGAGAAUAAUUCUGUAAAAGAGAUUAGUAAAAGUCAGCAUAAACCCAGAUCUCUUCCUCUGCAGGGGAGCAAUUCUGAGGUAGACGUUCCAACCACAAAAAGAGCAGAAUGUUCAAAUCCAAGAGAUAGGCUCCUGUGUGAAGAGUCAUUUGAUGAAGAGGCUUCUUCCCAGUCCUUUCAGGAAGCUUUAAAUCAAUGGAGAACUGGACACCAUGCUGACAACGAGAGUCAGAACUUACGUGCGGCAAAAGCAGACUCAUUGGGAGAAUGUGAAGUACAAACUAAUCUGAAAAUUUGGAGAGAACCACUCAAUAUUGAAUUUAAAGAAGACAGUCUUUCGUAUAUGGAAAAAUUAUGGCUUAAAAAACACAGAAGAACUCCACAGGAGCAACUUCGAAACAUGCUGCCAGAUGCAUUCAUACCUCAAUGUAACACUGCUGGUGAGGCACAGUGUUCCCAGAAUGAACGUGAUGAAGACAGUGAUGUUGAGGAGACCAAACAAUACCCAGCACUUUUUCUGCCAGUAGAAGAAUUUAACAUAGAGAGACCCAAGCCAUCUCUAAAUAUAGUUGAACUGGAUGAUACUUAUGAAGAGGAAUUUGAAGAACCAGGAAACACAGUGCCCUACAAAGUUGAGUUAGCAGAUGUAGACAGUCAACAAAGUUGCACGUUUCAUAAUUAUCAGAAUACUUUUCUAUAUGAAAAUGACAUUCAUCAACGUCAUGUUUUCACCAAGGGAAAAGCAGACCUCUUACAUCUACAUCUGAACAACAGCUCUUCCUCCUGUAAAAAUAACUCAAAAGCAGUAACUUCAGAUACAAAAUUUGACACCAUUGUGGAUCCUGAUGUUUAUUCUCCUGCCACUGAAAAGUUAGGGGAAAGCAGCUUUUUUGAAAGAAAUUUCAAGGAGAAAACUAUAGAUAUGGAAAGUAAUCAAAAGUCUGAUGAUUCCUGCAUAUCACUUGAGAGCAAGGAUUCUUUGCCAAGCAGAGGUUUAGAAAAACCUUCCAUUAAGGAGCAAUUAUCUCAGGACAUCAAAGAAUCCUUGGAAUUUAGCAAUCUGCAUGAGAGGCCAAACGCUGAAGAUUCUAAAACUACAGAGUCACCACUGUUGUUACGAGAAAUAGCCCUCAGAAGUAAGCCUAUAACUGAACAAUAUCAAGGACUUGAAAGAUUCUUUGUUUUUGAUAAAAAUGAGAGACUCAACUUACUUCCUUCUCAUAGCUUAGAAUGCAGCUAUUCCAGUACUAGGAUUACAACUGCAGGAGACCGAGAGUGGAUGCCAGGCCACAGCAUAAGUGCCUCGGCUGAUCACGCAGUUGUCUUGGGUGUUGUGCAGACUGCCCAGAACCUGUCCAUGAGCAGAACACAGCGAAAGAGGGGGGAGAUAUCACAGAGACCUUCAACAGCACAUAUACCCCUCUCCAACUCUGUUAAGAAAAGCUCCGGUUGCCUCUUCUCCCAUCCUCGAUCAAGAAGUGCAGCUGUUCGAUCGUUAUCUAGAGCUGCUUCUGAAAUUUCAGAAAUUGAAUACAUUGAUAUUACUGACCACACUGAGCCUUUCUUAGAUGACACUGCUGAUCAGCAAACCUUAGACAAUUUGGAAAAAGAAUUAAAUGUGCUGGGAAAUCUUGCAGAUCCUUCAGAAAAACUUUACAGUCUAACCUCAGAAGAGUUACCAGCCUUCAACAACCACUUGCUGGACAUAAGUCAGACUACUGGAGAUUUCCUUAAAAGCUCAAGUGCUGGAGGCCUCUGGGGAGUUGAGGAACAGAGCUCUUCUGAAAAAGAUACUGAAAUUCAGUCUUUGCUGACACUUUCUGAAAGCAGCACGGAGGAGGAGGAGGAAGAGGAUUUUCUUGACCGGCAACACGUCAUCACACUCCCAUAAUCAAAGAGUGCCUAAUGAUAAUGAUCAUUUGUUCAUUACGUUUUCCAUUUGGUACCCAGAGUAAAGCAAACAGCUGAAAAAAGUGACCAAGUGAUUACUUGUCCCCGGUGCUGGAGAUUUGAUUGUUAAUGUUUCUGAUAUUUCAAGAUUGGCAGACUAAUAAAAAUCAGUGAAAUUGACAUCUUCAUUCCUCUGAUGAAGAAGAAAAUUGCUCCCUAGGUGCAAUUUAUAAAAGUCCAGUGUUUCUCUCAACGUGGAAGGAGGUGUUGUCUUAUUCUCAUUAAGGGAGAAGGACCACUGCUAUUCCUUCUGUCUUGAGUCUUGGCUUGAGUCUUUUAUAAACUAGCUCAGAAAGAGAUUUUAUAAGAUACUGUUACCUUUUACAAUGUAAAAAUUUUUAAAUAAAAAUAAAUCUGAGAA